AGCGAUUCAGAAUCACUCGCCCAGGCAACGGGUCCGGAGAGCGACGCGAUCCCUGAGCCCAUCGCCCUACCAGCGGAAAACCCGACUCACGAAACGGCCGCCGAUUUAAUUAAAGCCUCAACGGCCGAAGUAACAGAAACGGCCCUAUCCAACGAGCAGGAACGCCCGCAACAACAAAGCAGAACUACGAGAUGGCUUGAUCCUCGAAAGAGGUACGUAGGCAGCUUGUCCUAUUGACAAGUUCAGCUAUCCCCCUCUCCAAAAAGGGGGGGGGGAGUGGGUACGUAUACUCGUAUACUCCCACAAAGUUUGGAAUAUCCACACAUGUACUCGAUAUUUUCAAAACUUUUCCAAUAAAACUCAUUUUAUUACGGUCUCCCGAUUCACUUGCAAUAAUCCACAACAAUCGGAGAUUAACCUGAGAAACAUCCAAGACAAGGGUCUCCAAACACGCAUACCUUUCAAGCAGUCCUUCGAUGGGAACUAACUUAAACAA
This 496-nucleotide long non-coding RNA is filed under the name Brassica napus (rape). RNAcentral describes it as "long non-coding RNA (BNAP_LNC010046)". The record is from RNAcentral. Lineage: Eukaryota; Viridiplantae; Streptophyta; Magnoliopsida; Brassicales; Brassicaceae.